This 23-nucleotide small nuclear RNA is filed under the name Arabidopsis thaliana (thale cress). RNAcentral's name for it is "snRNA_02435". The record is from RNAcentral. Lineage: Eukaryota; Viridiplantae; Streptophyta; Magnoliopsida; Brassicales; Brassicaceae.
AACAAAUUAUGUGAUGUAAAUGA